This 326-nucleotide ribosomal RNA is filed under the name uncultured eukaryote. Its description in RNAcentral is "partial 18S ribosomal RNA". It matches the Rfam family "Eukaryotic small subunit ribosomal RNA", at positions 1470 to 1796 of the family's 1831-position model. The record is from RNAcentral.
CCCUUAGAUGUUCUGGGCCGCACGCGCGCUACACUGAUGAAUUCAACGAGCACUAACCUGUGCCGAAAGGUUCGGGUAAUCUUGUGAAAUUUCAUCGUGAUGGGGAUUGAUUAUUGCAAUUUUUAAUCAUAAACGAGGAAUGCCUAGUAAGCGUGAGUCAUCAGCUCACGUUGAUUACGUCCCUGUCCUUUGUACACACCGCCCGUCGCUCCUACCGAUUGAAUGUGCCAGUGAAAAGUUCGGAUUGGAGAUAGGAAACGGCAACGUAUCCUAUUUCCGAGAAAAUCUUUAAACUUUCCCAUUUAGAGGAAGGAGAAGUCGUAACA